Osmia lignaria (orchard mason bee) is the source of this 3557-nucleotide long non-coding RNA. RefSeq lists it as uncharacterized. The record is from RefSeq and is a predicted model, not a curated record. Lineage: Eukaryota; Metazoa; Arthropoda; Insecta; Hymenoptera; Megachilidae.
AACGUUUUUGGUUUCAUUCUUCUGUAGGUAUCACGAUCAACGUGGCUACGCACCAGGGACCACAUUUCGAUGCACAUCACAUUUAGCCAGAAGAAGCAUGCGACGAAGGAGAACUGGAUGACGAAUGCUAGAAAAAAUUGUCUUCUUACCUAUACUGGUACAAGUUUCGCUCGAUAGAUGCAAGCUUCCCAAUUGCGUGAUUGCUAAAGUGAUAAAAGCCAAUGCUAAACAACCACAGUAACGACACAAUGCUUUUCCAAAAACGUCCCUUAAUUUUGGAGUGAUGGAAUACGCCAGAAUGUUGUCAGGUAAAUUAUAUAAGGCGUCGAUCGAGUGUAAAGGAUUUAAGGUGUUCUUGUUUAGUUACCUUCAGAAAAGCACGCAAAAGUUUUGAGUCCUAAUUUCGGAACAAUUUCCAUGCAAUAAUCAACCCCAGGAUUCAUCAUCAUCAUCUGCUCUUGAUAAGUUCCACUGGAAGUAAUAUAUUUCUGUGAAGACUAUGCACCUUUCAAAAGAAGAUAAUCUUGUUUCGUGAAUUUCACAAAGACUAGCAUUGAAGCCGGAAGGAUGUUGAAGGUCUCCUGGUAUAGAUUCAACCGGGUAAAUGAAAUUCCAAAGCUCUAUCAGAUAUACAAGAUCUCCUUUCCUGAUUAUUUUCCUGCUAUCGAUUAAAGACUGAACGCUUAAGAAACCUUCGUCUGCAAACAAGUUAAGGGACCAAGUAGAAAAGGAUCGACUUUAUCUCGAAAAGAAAGUUUGAUAAAUGAACAGUUGUUGACCUAUAAUUCUUGCUGUUUCAUCGAAGAAAGUACUAAAAAGUAUACCGGUUUUUUCGUUCGCUUUCAUUCAAGAAAUUAUUAAGACCUUCAUCAAUCACACAGAAUUCAAAGGACACCUUUAGAAAAAGAAACAAGGCCAUUUUAUUAAAACAUACCUAUUGACAAUUGUUUACCAUCCAGAUCAAUUUAUUCAGACAUAAUUAACAUUGGUACCCUAUGGUAAUUGGCACUAUUAGAGGAACAGGUAAAAACUAUACGAAGGCAAAGUUUAACACGAAUUUUCAAAGACACGAAAACAGACCGUCCAACGGUAUAAAUAAUUUUCGUACAACUUUGAAUCACGUUCACUGAAGAAGACACUGGAUCACGUAACGGAGAAUGGAUCUUGAUGAUGUUCACGUGGUUCACAGAUCGGCGUCCGGGACCAUACUGACCGCACUCUUCGAACCAGCAAGCCUUUAUCUAUCGGUGCACGAUUACUCGUAUGAUGCAUACACCGCCAGAGAUUCAGCCAGGUGUCGUAAUUAUAACACUUCCGUUAGAUAUUUUCUUCAAUCUGCUUUCCAAAGCAAGGGCAGUACUUAAAAUAAGAAGAGGAAUAAAAAAUGUAAGGAUUGUCAUGAUCGUUAUCACAGCCUACUCAUUAAUUUAUCGAUGAUCAGUGAUUUCUUGUAUUGACUUAUUAAUGAUGUCAUUAACUAUAUGGGUGUGUCACAGGAAUACCCUCUAUAAUUAUUACUAUGAAAAUGGACGAAUUGGAUAUUCCAAAAUUGGUGUAAUAAUCAGACACAAAUGGCUGAUUUUCUAAACUUGAGACUUGAAUUUAUUAAUUUUUGGAAUUAUUGUAAUUGUGAUGUUAUUCAAAAUUUGUCUUCCAUUUUUUCUUAUUAAUUAUUCAAUUACAUUGCAUUUGAAGCUUUGGUCAUCGGUAACAACCAACUUAAAAUAAAAUAGUAUCGUUGAACAAAUUUUUCGAUGAUCUGAAUGUACGAAUGAUACAAUUAAGUUCUUCUGCAUUUAUAUAGAUCCUCGAACGAUCUAUGCAAUUCGUUCAUUGAGAAAAUAUGAGAAUAAUGUCACGAAUCGUCUGUCCAUUGAUCGCACGGUAAUAUGUUGCCGUUUUGCAAUUUCCCUGUCCACCUUCAUAAAAAAAUACCAUCGAACUGAUAUCGAAAUAAUGACGUAAUAUCGGGAAAAUUUUUCCGCUAUCGGUGAUGAUAUGACGUAGGCGUGAGUUAUAACCGCGAAUACAGUUGCUCGUCACGAAGAAGCUUCAAUUUUGAACUUACAAAUACCUUUCUGCGAAUUGUAAGUUUCGCCGAUCCGUUUCUACGAACUGAUUGCACCGUCGAUCCACUGUACGCGCAGAUUUUCCUUCAUUUUCGUGAUAUUUGCAGUUUGCAAAUCCGCGGGGUGCAUCUCGAGCCGUGCCAAUUCUAAUUUCAGCAAAAUCGCGGACACUUGCAAGACAUUUACUCCUUAUGGAGUACUCUUCAACCCUAGAAAGUCAGAAUUCAGAUUUCAUUUUUGCUUCCGACAAAAGUCAACAUUCCGUACAUUUUUCCUUUAUUUCUCACAAUGGUAAUUAUAAUUCUUACAUGAAAAUUCCAGACCGAGUACGUACGUAAUACGAUCACGUACCGUGAUUUUCGAAGUUUACGUUACGUUACAGAGGUUAAUCACCAACGAUAAAUUUAGAAAGGUAGCAGAAGCAGAAAAAUAUUAUCUUUGACUUCAUCCAGUCCAAAUAUAAGAUGAAAAAUUCGUCAGUUCAUUUGAUCGACUUUAAUGACCAAUGCGAUACACGAAGAUAAUGAAAAAGGAAAAAUCCUUGAAAAGCAUAAGUUUCAGGCAGUGAAUCACGUGCAGUCUAGAAACGUGAUCGAUCGGUUGGGUACUUCUCGACUUUGACAGUUAUCAUCGAACCGUUGAAGAAGACGGACGUCGUCAGGUGCAAUUAAAUUCCUAAGUGGCUCGUCAAUUCUACGUAAAAUACGCGAUGUUCACGGUGAAAACAAUUUCUGACGUCAAUGUAUAUGUAUUCAGAAGAAAGUUGAAUACAUACACUGAUAAAACAGACAUUGCCGGAGAAACAAUCCCAAAAAGGCGAUGUGUUCUUCUGAAAUUAUCCUGUAGGCUCUUUUUUUAUCAUUUUUCUUCUUAGGCUUCCCUUAGUUAAAUAGAUGUACAUUAAGGGGUAGGAAUAUCUAGGCAAGGAUCUCCCUAUCUUCACCCAGGGUUCUCCAUUUCUCUAUUGCAGCUACAACUUUUUUUUAUAUAAAGCACAACUUUCCCCUGUUGGUUGUGAAAAGUUGGGUCUAAUUAGACCCAGUCGAGGGCUUCUGAGAAUCAAAGAACCUCGAUAAGACUGAACAGAAGAUUCGAAGUACAAUCUCGUUAUGCGGUUCCGCGGAUAAUAGAAUUUACGAUAUUACUAUUGUGGUAUUAUUGUAGAAUGUUGAUUCAUCGAACACUCUAAAUACUUUGGAAAUUUCAGCUUCUUCCUCGAAGUCGAAUGAAAUUUAGAUUUAGAGAUUGACGCAACGAACGUCUCUACGGCGAGCUUACGUUGGCCUCAACGAAAUCGAACAAGAGAACGGCACCGGAUAGCUUGGACCAGAGAAAAUCCAAUGACGUCUUGGAUCGUGUAGGCGUGCUAAACCCAGAAGAGGGUUUUACCAGGCCACCUGUAGCGAUCAGGAAGUAGCAACCAACAGUCAGACGAAUGUGCGUAUUUCUUUGUGUUUUUACUGGCAGUUGUGUACCUGCCAACGAUGU